AGCGAACGCUGGCGGCAGGCCUAACACAUGCAAGUCGAGCGCCCCGCAAGGGGAGCGGCAGACGGGAGAGUAACACGUGGGAACGUACCCUUCAGUUCGGAACAACCCAGGGAAACUUGGGCUAAUACCGGAUACGUCCGUAAGGAGAAAGAUUUAUCGCUGAAGGAUCGGCCCGCGUCUGAUUAGCUAGUUGGUGAGGUAACGGCUCACCAAGGCGACGAUCAGUAGCUGGUCGGAGAGGAUGAUCAGCCUCACUGGGACGGAAACACGGCCCAGACUCCUACGGGAGGCAGCAGUGGGGAAUAUUGGACAAUGGGCGCAAGCCUGAUCCAGCCAUGCCGCGUGGAUGAUGAAGGCCCUAGGGUUGUAAAGUCCUUUCGGCGGGGAAGAUAAUGACGGUACCCGCAGAAGAAGCCCCGGCUAACUUCGUGCCAGCAGCCGCGGUAA
RNAcentral lists this ribosomal RNA (447 nucleotides) under uncultured bacterium. RNAcentral describes it as "partial 16S ribosomal RNA". It matches the Rfam family "Bacterial small subunit ribosomal RNA", at positions 29 to 523 of the family's 1533-position model. The record is from RNAcentral.